CUACGGGCGGCAGCAGUGGGGAAUAUUGGACAAUGGGGGAAACCCUGAUCCAGCAAUGCCGCGUGUGUGAAGAAGGCCUGCGGGUUGUAAAGCACUUUCGGUUGGGAGGACUGCUUCUAGCACUAAUAUUGUUGGAAGUUGACGUUACCUUCAGAAGAAGCACCGGCUAACUCCGUGCCAGCAGCCGCGGCAAUACGGAGGGUGCAAGCGGUAAUCGGAAUUACUGGGCGUAAAGCGCGCGUAGGCGGCUAGAUCAGUCGGGUGUGAAAGCCCCGGGCUUAACCUGGGAACUGCAUCCGAUACUGUCUAGCUUGAGUACAGGAGAGGAGAGUGGAAUUCCACAUGUAGCGGUGAGAUGCGUAGAUAUGUGGAGGAACACCAAUGGCGAAGGCAGCUCUCUGGCCUGAUACUGACGCUGAGGUGCGAAAGCGUGGGGAGCAAACAGGAUUAGAUACCCGGGUAGUC
Molecule: ribosomal RNA, 465 nt
Filed under: uncultured bacterium
Lineage: Bacteria
Description: partial 16S ribosomal RNA
Rfam family: Bacterial small subunit ribosomal RNA
Source: RNAcentral